Molecule: small nuclear RNA, 100 nt
Filed under: Aotus nancymaae (Ma's night monkey)
Lineage: Eukaryota; Metazoa; Chordata; Mammalia; Primates; Aotidae
Source: RNAcentral
UCGCUUCAGCAGCACAUAUACUAAAAUUGGAACAAUACAGAGAUUAGCAUGGCUCCUGUGCAAGGAUGAUACACAAAUUCGUGAAGCAUUCUACAUUUUU